CUGCUGCCUCCCGUAGGAGUCUGGUCCGUGUCUCAGUACCAGUGUGGGGGACCUUCCUCUCAGAACCCCUACGCAUCGUCGCCUUGGUGGGCCGUUACCCCGCCAACAAGCUAAUGCGACGCAUGACCAUCCGUAGCCGGAAUCGCUUCCUUUAAACCCACAGAGAUGCCUCCAUGGGUUGUUACGCGGUAUUAGACGGAAUUUCUUCCGCUUAUCCCCCUGCAUAGGGCAGGUUCCAUACGUGUUACUCACCCGUGCGCCGGUCG
Molecule: ribosomal RNA, 266 nt
Filed under: uncultured bacterium
Lineage: Bacteria
Description: partial 16S ribosomal RNA
Source: RNAcentral